Molecule: ribosomal RNA, 497 nt
Filed under: uncultured bacterium
Lineage: Bacteria
Description: partial 16S ribosomal RNA
Rfam family: Bacterial small subunit ribosomal RNA
Source: RNAcentral
GAUGAACGCUGGCGGCGUGCCUAAUACAUGCAAGUCGAGCAAACAGAUAAGGAGCUUGCUCCUUUGACGUUAGCGGCGGACGGGUGAGUAACACGUGGGUAACCUACCUAUAAGACUGGAAUAACUCCGGGAAACCGGGGCUAAUGCCGGAUAACAUUUAGAACCGCAUGGUUCUAAAGUGAAAGAUGGUUUUGCUAUCACUUAUAGAUGGACCCGCGCCGUAUUAGCUAGUUGGUAAGGUAACGGCUUACCAAGGCAACGAUACGUAGCCGACCUGAGAGGGUGAUCGGCCACACUGGAACUGAGACACGGUCCAGACUCCUACGGGAGGCAGCAGUAGGGAAUCUUCCGCAAUGGGCGAAAGCCUGACGGAGCAACGCCGCGUGAGUGAUGAAGGCCUUCGGAUCGUAAAACUCUGUUAUUAGGGAAGAACAAAUGUGUAAGUAACUGUGCACGUCUUGACGGUACCUAAUCAGAAAGCCACGGCUAACUACGUG